This 301-nucleotide ribosomal RNA is filed under the name uncultured bacterium. Its description in RNAcentral is "partial 16S ribosomal RNA". It matches the Rfam family "Bacterial small subunit ribosomal RNA", at positions 509 to 807 of the family's 1533-position model. The record is from RNAcentral.
CAGCCGCCGCGGUAAUACGGAGGGUGCAAGCGUUAAUCGGAAUUACUGGGCGUAAAGCGCACGCAGGCGGUUUGUUAAGUCAGAUGUGAAAUCCCCGAGCUUAACUUGGGAACUGCAUUUGAAACUGGCAAGCUAGAGUCUUGUAGAGGGGGGUAGAAUUCCAGGUGUAGCGGUGAAAUGCGUAGAGAUCUGGAGGAACACCGGUGGCGAAGGCGGCCCCCUGGACAAAGACUGACGCUCAGGUGCGAAAGCGUGGGGAGCAAACAGGAUUAGAUACCCGUGUAGUCCCUGUCUCUUAUAC